AAANGGCAAGCAUUAGCAGCNAACCCAAGGCCAUUGUANAGGAGAGACGGUCAUUCUUAUAUAGGGACAACGAGAUCAUGGAGGAAACUCAAUCCCUCCGCUCGUAAAGCAUUCUGCAUCCGAAAGCACAAGCGACUUACCAUGUGCCAGAGUAGCCAAAAAGGCAUACCAGGUACACGACAGCCGCUGUAUGGUUCAUCCAAUGCCACCUUUNAUGGGGAAAAGAUGAAUAGCUUUAGGCAACAAAAUUGGAUUCCGCUAUGUGGGUAUGCAACACAGAAACCCAUCCUUGCCCGACAUAGCAACAUGCUUUCGGGAC
Molecule: unclassified non-coding RNA, 319 nt
Filed under: Euphorbia robivelonae
Lineage: Eukaryota; Viridiplantae; Streptophyta; Magnoliopsida; Malpighiales; Euphorbiaceae
Description: partial external transcribed spacer
Source: RNAcentral